GACGAACGCUGGCGGCGUGCUUAACACAUGCAAGUCGAACGGAAAGGCUCUGCAUUUGUGGGGUGCUCGAGUGGCGAACGGGUGAGUAACACGUGAGUAACCUGCCCUUGACUUUGGGAUAACUUCUGGAAACUGGGGCUAAUACCGGAUAGGAGCUCCUGCUGCAUGGUGGGGGUUGGAAAGUUUCGGCGGUUGGGGAUGGACUCGGGGCUUAUCAGCUUGUUGGUGGGGGAGUGGCUUACCAAGGCUUUGACGGGUAGCCGGCCUGAGAGGGUGACCGGCCACAUUGGGACUACGAUACGGCCCAGACUCCUACGGGAGGCAGCAGUGGGGAAUAUUGCACAAUGGGCGGAAGCCUGAUGCAGCAACGCCGCGUGCGGGAUGACGGCCUUCGGUUUGUAAACCGCUUUCGCCUGUGACGAAGCGUGAGUGACGGUAAUGGGUAAAGAAGCACCGGCUAACUACGUG
Molecule: ribosomal RNA, 468 nt
Filed under: uncultured bacterium
Lineage: Bacteria
Description: partial 16S ribosomal RNA
Rfam family: Bacterial small subunit ribosomal RNA
Source: RNAcentral